Molecule: ribosomal RNA, 524 nt
Filed under: uncultured bacterium
Lineage: Bacteria
Description: partial 16S ribosomal RNA
Rfam family: Bacterial small subunit ribosomal RNA
Source: RNAcentral
GACGAACGCUGGCGGCGUGCCUAAUACAUGCAAGUCGAACGAAGCUGUUUUAACUGGUGCUUGCACCGACUUAAACAACUGAGUGGCGAACGGGUGAGUAACACGUGGGUAACCUGCCCCAAAGCGGGGGAUAACAUUUGGAAACAGAUGCUAAUACCGCAUAACCACAGAAACCACAUGGUUUCUGUGUCAAAGAUGGUUUCGGCUAUCACUUUGGGAUGGACCCGCGGCGUAUUAGCUAGUUGGUAAGGUAAUGGCUUACCAAGGCAAUGAUACGUAGCCGAACUGAGAGGUUGAUCGGCCACUUAGGGAAGAGGACACGGCCCAAACUCCUACGGGAGGCAGCAGUAGGGAAUCUUCCACAAUGGACGAAAGUCUGAUGGAGCAACGCCGCGUGAGUGAAGAAGGUUUUCGGAUCGUAAAACUCUGUUGUCAGAGAAGAACGUGUGCGAGAGUAACUGCUCGUGCAGUGACGGUAUCUGGCCAGAAAGCCACGGCUAACUACAUGCCAGCCGCCGCCGUAA